UCACGGUUUACACCGGCAGUUUCGUUAGAGUUCCCGGCAUUACCCGCUGGCAACUAACGAUAAGGGUUGCGCUCGUUAUGGGACUUAACCCGACACCUCACGGCACGAGCUGACGACAACCAUGCAGCACCUUGUAAAAAGCCCCGAAGGGAAUCCCGAUUUCUCGGAAAUGCACUCUACAUUUAAGCCCAGGUAAGGUUCCUCGCGUAUCAUCGAAUUAAACCACAUGUUCCUCCGCUUGUGCGGGCCCCCGUCAAUUCCUUUGAGUUUUAGCCUUGCGGCCGUACUCCCCAGGCGGGGUGCUUAAUGCGUUAGCUUCGGCACGGGGGGAGUCGACACCCCCCACACCUAGCACCCAUCGUUUACAGCGUGGACUAC
RNAcentral lists this unclassified non-coding RNA (378 nucleotides) under uncultured Bacteroidales bacterium. RNAcentral describes it as "contains 16S-23S intergenic spacer region". Lineage: Bacteria; Pseudomonadati; Bacteroidota; Bacteroidia; Bacteroidales. The record is from RNAcentral.